Molecule: small nuclear RNA, 183 nt
Organism: Vespa crabro (European hornet)
Lineage: Eukaryota; Metazoa; Arthropoda; Insecta; Hymenoptera; Vespidae
Product: U2 spliceosomal RNA
Exons: 1
Source: RefSeq, a predicted model, not a curated record
AUCGCUUAUGGCUAAGAUAAGGGUGUAGUAUCUGUUCUUAUAAGUUUAAUAUCUAAUAAAGUAUUUAUAGAGUAGUUCGAAUAUUAGCUUGAUUUUUGUAACUUUGUGAAAUGCUAAAGCUUCCUUCAUGUCUGCUUUGAGUUGAACAGGCAUUGCAAUGUUGUCUGCAUCAACUGGUAUAAA